This 440-nucleotide ribosomal RNA is filed under the name uncultured beta proteobacterium. RNAcentral describes it as "bacterial SSU rRNA". It matches the Rfam family "Bacterial small subunit ribosomal RNA", at positions 201 to 632 of the family's 1533-position model. Lineage: Bacteria; Pseudomonadati; Pseudomonadota; Betaproteobacteria. The record is from RNAcentral.
GGAUCGCAAGACCUUGCGCUCUUUGAGCGGCCGAUGUCUGAUUAGCUAGUUGGUGAGGUAAAGGCUUACCAAGGCGACGAUCAGUAGCUGGUCUGAGAGGACGACCAGCCGCACUGGGACUGAGACACGGCCCAGACUCCUACGGGAGGCAGCAGUGGGGAAUUUUGGACAAUGGGGGAAACCCUGAUCCAGCCAUGCCGCGUGAGUGAAGAAGGCCUUCGGGUUGUAAAGCUCUUUCAGCCGGAACGAAACGGUCACGGCUAAUACCCGUGACAACUGACGGUACCGGAAGAAGAAGCACCGGCUAACUACGUGCCAGCAGCCGCGGUAAUACGUAGGGUGCGAGCGUUAAUCGGAAUUACUGGGCGUAAAGCGUGCGCAGGCGGUUUUGUAAGUCAGAUGUGAAAUCCCCGGGCUUAACCUGGGAACUGCGUUUGAAA